GCCCCCGGCCCCGCCGCGGCAGCGCCCGCGGAGCGCGGGCGGAGGGGGGGAGCCGGCGGAGCGCGAAGUACUUAAAAUAACUGCUUCUAAUAGCCUUUAAUACAGACAUUUUGGGUGUAACUGGCAAGAUGCAAGAGAACAUCACCCAUAUGGGAGCAAGCUCAACAACUGAACAAAGUGUUCUACAUUGGUGGACUCAGAUGCAGCAAUUUUUCUACAUAACAGGAUUCUUUUUAGAGACGCAUUUUUCCCUAAAGCUUAUCUACUGCAGAUGGCAGUAAUGCAAGACAUCCUGGAUUGAAAUGUAUGAUUUUGAAUCUCAAGAGUGAAGUCAAUAGGACAGCACCAGGGGAAAACCAGCAGAAAAGCAAUAAUGUUGCCUAUUUGUUUUCAACGAGGAGUCAAGAGACAAUUACUGGACAGGCAAAGGAAAGCUGCAUGACUCCAGCUAUGUGGUGUCAAAGGGGAAGUACCUCUUUCACAUACCCCUCCAACUUAGCGCUUUUACAGGGGAAGAGUGGUGAGGUCCCACCUCUGGGAUUGGAAGAGGAAAGUGAACAGCAGUCCUCCAAAAACAGCAAUGAUCAAGGAAAGAACAAUGACCUGCAUUUAUUGCCGGGUAGUGUUCCCAGUUGAGUUAAUAAAGUUGUGGCCUAAUUAAACUGAGCACUUCACAUCUUGUUUUUCUUCUUGCAUGGCCGGGACAAUUAAGCAUCCUUUGAUGUAGAGUGCUCAGAGGAAAUCUCCCAAUUACUUUAUGAACAAUUUUUGUCAUAAAGCCUGAGAGAAUUUAUUGAAACCACCUACAGUAGAAUGAGGCCAGAGCCAAUCAACACUGGAUGACCAGACUUAGGAGUACGAGCUUUAAACCGCAGGCCACAAAGACCACAAACACCACACUACAGUGAGAAAUGCAAGCUGUCACAAGUGCUAGUUGGGUACAGCAACCUGAACAGAACUCUGUGGGAAAAGACUCAGUUUCAUUCCUUGAACGGAAGCUGUUGCUAAUUCCUGAUUUUCCGUUUAAGUAGAAGUUGUACUUUACACUGACACUAUUUCAGUUCCAAAAUAAAUGUAUUAUUAUGUGUAACUGCAGUAGGUGCUCGACAAUGUCUUCAUUCAAUAGCCUGGUUAAGCAUAUUUGUAACUGCUUUCUUCAAUCAAGUUGAAAAAGUUAUUUCGUUACUUCUUACCAAAAAUAAGUGAGGACAUUCCUAAUUCCUAGUAGUACUAUUUUGAAAUAACAAUUUCUUAGCUUAAAUUCAGUGUAAUGAACAUAGGAUGAUAAGGAUUUUCUGCACUUUCAAACCUCCUGCUAUCACAGGCAAGCAAACUGUGUACUCAGCUCUCUAAAAUGAGCAAUUUCUGUCUCACAACUAGUCAGACCAACUAGCAUAUCUGAAAAACUAAAUAAACAUAAAGAAUACUCUUAUAAAGCAGUAUGCAUAUAUAUCCAAGAAUAUGCAGACUUAAAUCUAAAGGCGUGUAUUUCUUAUUUCAAGUAUUAUUUCAUUGAUCAGCACAUUCAAAUAAUUUGAAUUCAGAAAAAUAUACUUUUUCUUUUGUAAAAAUAACUUCUGAAAUGCAAUGUUGAGAACGGUAACAGCUGUUAAAUAACGAAAUUAAAGAAAAAGGAAAAAAAUAGCAAUGAUAGUGCCUUUCAGUUUUAAGAAAAUUAUCAUAUGUAAGUUGCACGAGCAUUUAAAAAAUACUACAACACUACUGCUUCCAUUCAGUGUCGACAAAUAAUUUAAAUAUUAUUAAAAUUAAUAAAUAACUGUGACUGGAACUUCUAAAUUAUGCUUUCACUCUGGCUUAAGAAAAAAUGGAUUAUUUUCAACUCUUAUCUGUUAGUACUUAUUUUCUGCACAGGGAAAAAUGUGUUUUGUGAAAUUUGUUUCGAUUGUUGCAGUAACAAGUCUGAAAACUUUGAAAGUGAGUUUUUUCACAAUUAGAAUGUGUAUUAUUCACUUAAUAGACCCAGUUGGGUAGAAAAUGAAAACACAAAACAGCAUAAAAUCCCCUAUAAGGCCAUUCAUCAUCAGUAUAAAUGAGCUCUAAAAUGCACUAUAUACAAGUAGAAAGAAGCUCAAAUUAUUUUUGUCUUAAAGCAAAAUAAUGAGUUCUGAUCAGGAAAAGAAAAGAUACAGUAAUUCAGCAAUGCUAGAAUCUAUCCACUAAAAAACUCGGCUACUGCUGUUGAAAUAUUUUGAGACAUAUAUUCCAUUCAACUCCCCAAACAAAUAGCAGACUGUACUUCAAAUGCAUUGCAAGACUAUUAGGUAAUCUCUUUCUUUGUUUAGAUUCAGUAGGGUUCAGUGACAAACAUUCAUCUCUUUCUAUAAAAGUUCCUGUUCUCUUGCUUAGUUAAGAAUUGCUUUACUUCUUGUAGCAACUCACAAUUUACUUCACAAGGUAUUAGUAUCUCACAGGAAGCUUCAAAGAAAAUGCAAAAAUUAUCAUUUAACUAUUUUAAAAUUAUGAAUUAUUUGUUCCAUGCUUAGAUCAUACAGUAGAAAGCACAUUUACAUCUGUAGGUAGACUAAUAGAAUCAGACACAAAGCUUCUGAAAUAAACUAAUACCAGCUGCUCCCAUGCCUCAUUACUCUGCAGUAGCUGCUACCCUGAAAUAUUGCACACUGCAGAAUCACUGGCUUUCAAAAGCCACACAGACUUUUUAGAAGAUGUAGCAGUGCAAAACAGACACUUCCCUCAGACAGAAGAAAAAGAAAGUCCUAUACUUCAGGAUAUGUGUUCAAGCAUUUUCCAGUCUAACGUACACAUAUUUUUUACCACCAUCCAUUUUACUUAUUUGAACAGGUGAAAGCAAUUAGAGUGUAAAAUUAUUGCACUGUCCAGUGCUCCAAGUUCUACAAUUAUUUACAAAUUCUGAAACAAAUGAAAUAUCUUUCUUAUUAGUACCACACACUUUGUGCUUCCAAAACUUGUGUAAGUAGGGAUGAAUAUCACGACCACUUAGAUUACUAAGAGAAGAUACAUUAAUGACCAAAAGUAAGUUUUGCUCCAGCAACAGUGUAUCUAGAAAAAAAUCAUUCUCUAUGUAUACACGCUAUGCAAUAAUAAAAUUCUUAAAAAUAACUCAUUUUCAAAAGCUGUAUUAUACAUUAACCUUACUGUAGUCUGCAAAAAUUAGAUGGCAACAGCUAAAUCUCUCAGUAAAAGGCACUGUCUGAUCCUCAUCAUCUCAAAUGGUCAUUAAGAUCGUCUGAAGAGACUCUCCUCUGGAAACACAGAAGUAAUUUUAAUGCGAAAGUUUACACAGUUAAAAUUACACAAAUUUAAUUUCCAACAAGCCCAGAAGAAUUAAAUAUUCCAUGGCUCUCAGGACACAUCUUCAACGUAGAGGGUUAGUUUUAAAUGUUUAUGUAAUACUUCUAGCAUUAGAAUAAAAACUUGAAAAUGUUUGGAAGAAUAUUAUUCUAGCAGGGAUCAACUGUAUACUUUAACUUUUCUAAAGAUAACACAUAUUUUGAUAGACACAAAUAAAUCAGGCAGAGAAACAUAAAACAGACUUCAGCUUUAUUUAAAGAAAUAUACAACGUGGUGUUCAUACUCAGAAGUAUCAUUUAGAGGUAAUAUAUCACAAUAUAAUUCUUCACUUUGAAAUGCCAGAAUAAUGAAAUGUAAGUUCUAUAAUGGUAUCCUUCAGAACAGUAUUGUUCUUUUGUUUUUGUACCUUUGAAACUGUCCUUUGCGUAAUAGAAUUAACUCAACUUACAAUUUUCAGAAUAAUUAGUGCUUACUCAAUAUAA
This is a long non-coding RNA of Gallus gallus (chicken), 3773 nucleotides long. RefSeq lists it as uncharacterized. The record is from RefSeq and is a predicted model, not a curated record. NCBI's taxonomy places the organism in Eukaryota, Metazoa, Chordata, Aves, Galliformes, Phasianidae. The transcript is spliced from 5 exons.